Clupea harengus (Atlantic herring) is the source of this 1369-nucleotide long non-coding RNA. The record is from Ensembl. Lineage: Eukaryota; Metazoa; Chordata; Actinopteri; Clupeiformes; Clupeidae.
CUACCACCAUAAGCUUUGCGAUCGACUGGUCGAUCGCGAUCGACGCAUUGGGCACCCUUGCACUAACCUGAUAAUAGAUAUUAUAUUAUAUUACACAACUACAAAAACACACAAAUAAGCUGCAGCACCACAUUUGUAAAACAUCCCAUUCAAAGCCAACAUAGUCUAACAUAAGGUUAUAGCUCUUUAUGCUAACUACCACACCACUAACUACAAACCAUACCUCACCACUAACUACAAACCAUAAGGUUAUAGCUCUUUAUGCUAACUACCACACCACUAACUACAAACCAUAAGGUUAUAGCUCUUUAUGCUAACUACCACACCACUAACUACAAACCAUAAGGUUAUAGCUCUUUAUGCUAACUACCUCACCACUAACUACAAACCAUAAGGUUAUAGCUCUUUAUGCUAAUUACAAACCAACAGCUGCCUAGAUUCCUGUCCCUGUGGCGGGUGCUUUUACUGAACAGAGUUGGCAUCUGAACCCUUUCUUUCUUAUGUCCUAUGCUGCCCACGAACCUCUGAGACUGAGUGGUCGGUGGACUGUCAGCCAGGCUGAGAGGAGGCAUGUUAGGAGGCUUUGCCCACACAACUCCCAUAACCCACGUAUCGGACUGUGCUUCUAAGCUUGUGUCACAAAGUUUGUGUUUGUUAACUAUGGAGGACUCUCAGAACACAGCCCUUGUACUUCUGUCUUUCUUUUCUUGCUUUGCUUAGCAGUACAGAAGGCAGAAGUGGAACUGUAUUUUUCUCGGCUUCACUUGUUUCACUUCUUGUUUUAGUAUUAUGCCUUAUGGAAGACUUCGGUCACAUGCAAUGAGUGCACGGCAGAGUGCACGCAGGUAGGUAGGUAGACAGGUAGGUAGGCCAUCCAGUCGUUUCAUUCGACAUGAAUGAAAUGAUUGGACAGGCUUUUUACAGCCCUGCAACUGCCACAUAUGACGUUUUUUUCUUCUUUUUAUUGCCAGAGCAUUUGAUUUAUUCAUUUCUGUUAGGAUGUCAAGAGAAUUUCAAGAAAUAUAACAAAACAAACAAACAAGGCUGACUUCAGUCAGUCUACAAGCGGCACACUGCAACACACACAGGGGCGUAACUAUAGGGGGUGCAGAAGGUGCGGAUGCACCUGGGCCUGUGAGGUGUCGGGGCCCGUAGCCGGGCCCAAGGAUAUACACGCGUCACUCAACGGGCCCCCUCUCUCCAAGUAGAAUCGCUCAGCGGGCCCACCCUCAGUCUCGGAUUUUCUCGGAUAUGCUUAUAUUCCAAUACGCGCUAUUUACUAACUGAAGGCUGUGUCAAAUGCUAUAUAUACACUUGAAAGGGCAAACUUAUCUCAGUCAUGGUUGUUAUUAUUUUUGGGGGAAAAGUA